GGCACAGUGGGGCAGUGGUUAGCGCUGUCUCCUCACAACAAGAAGGUUGUGGGUUUGAACCCAGCCUGGGGCC
Non-coding RNA from Gymnothorax javanicus (giant moray), 73 nucleotides. The record is from the annotation of a GenBank genome assembly. NCBI's taxonomy places the organism in Eukaryota, Metazoa, Chordata, Actinopteri, Anguilliformes, Muraenidae.